This 440-nucleotide long non-coding RNA is filed under the name Homo sapiens (human). RNAcentral's name for it is "non-protein coding lnc-KANTR-23:10". The record is from RNAcentral. Lineage: Eukaryota; Metazoa; Chordata; Mammalia; Primates; Hominidae.
GUAGGCCCGUGCCCCUGCUCGCGCUGCAGCCCGUGGAAGGGUUCCGUCCAGCGUAUCCUUCAGAUCUUGCUGUAGGCCUCUGGUGUCUGUGCGCGCGCGGCAGGGGCGGCGGCGGCGACGGCCGGAGGUGUACGGUCAGCGGGUUGCGGAGGAUCGUGCGGGUCGCAAAGGGAAGCCGAGUGCUCCUGCGGCUCCCAGACUGCAACCAGUUGCUUCCUCUACUGAAGUCUUGAAACCCCUGAAAGUCAUCCCUGAGGUUUGAAGUUAACUUCUUCUACACCCUGUUAAUGUUGAUAUUUUGACCUCCUUCCAUGAAUCACAAAUGUUCUUAAUGGCAUCUAGAAUGGUCUGGAAGCUCCGAGUUUAUCUUGGGAACUCAAGAGGAGAGGAUCACCCAGUUCACAGGUAUUUGAGGAUACAAACCCAUUGCUGGGCUCGGC